CAUUUUUAAAUCUAUCUAUUCUUCAACAUUUAUCUAUUUCUAUUCUUUCUUCUACAUUAAAGAAGGGUUUGAGAGGACUAUAGGGUGACACAUGUCCCCUCUCAAAUCCUCUUUUAUUCUCUCUCUUUCGUCCUCCCAAACCCUCAGGACAUGUUUGGUUCAUGAUUGGAAUAGAAAUGAGAAAUGGAAUUGGAUUGUUUUGGAAUGAGAAAUGGAAUGAUGUAUCAUUCAAAAAUGUUUGGUUCAUUAUUGGAAUGGAAAUCGGAAUGAAAAUUUAAAAUUAUUGAGAGAAGGUUUUGAUUAAGAGAGAGAAAAGUGACGAAGGAAGAGGAGAUGGGUGUUGGUGAAAAAGAAUUUUGAAUAGUUUACUUUGGAAUGAGCUAAUCCGGAAUUCGAAGCCGGAUUGGAUCAUAAAUGGAUUUGGCCAUUCCCAUUCCGGAGUGGAAUGAGAAUCGGAAUCCGAUUCCUAUAAAAUAAACGACAACUAUUGGAAUCAAUGAAUUCCAUUCCGAUUCCAUAGUCUAAAAUAGGUGAACCAAACAUGCCGUCAAUGUAGAAAAUAUAUAUAGAAUUAGGCUAUUAUACUAUCUAUAGUACCGGAGCUCCGAUACUAUAGUCUUAUUUUCGAUCUUAGGGUGUUCAAAUUAAUGAUCCACACCGUUAAAUAUGAUCUAGGGUAUAUGAAGUUCUUACGAAUAAAAUUUUAGUUUUUUUCGACAUCGUUUACUUAGUAAAUAAAUUAUGUCAAAAUAGACGGUGUAAAUUGAAUAUUCUUUAAAAUUUGAGCAUAGGACUUUGAAAUUCAAGAUCAAGA
This 814-nucleotide long non-coding RNA is filed under the name Ananas comosus (pineapple). RNAcentral describes it as "long non-coding RNA (ACOM_LNC016426)". Lineage: Eukaryota; Viridiplantae; Streptophyta; Magnoliopsida; Poales; Bromeliaceae. The record is from RNAcentral.